Varroa destructor (honeybee mite) is the source of this 2433-nucleotide RNA transcript. RefSeq lists it as uncharacterized. The record is from RefSeq and is a predicted model, not a curated record. NCBI's taxonomy places the organism in Eukaryota, Metazoa, Arthropoda, Arachnida, Mesostigmata, Varroidae.
AAACUCGAAACUAGUAGCAAUACUUAGCAGUGUGCAUAUAUAAGCCAGGAUAAUGUCUUAGUUAAAACAGGCUAUGGAAUGGUUGUCUAUUACGUGAUGACAUUGUAACACGCCAUUCCGUUCGUUCCGUAUUUAGGAUGCUGAGCGUGGAGGUAGACGCUGCCACGCCUAUCGCCGCUUCACUGCUGCUCGAAAAAUCGUACGGUGAAGGAGCUGUACGAGGGAAGCGUCAAGCUGAAGAGCGAUGUAUAUUGACGCCACCUACGAUAUUAUGGCGUGCUAUUUUUCAGCGGUCCUAUCAGUGCUUUCGCUGACGGCGAUCGCGGCCUGUCCAUGGGCUACCGAAAGCACCAUCAAACAGUCAAACCUAAUAGGAUUCGUAAGUCUGCCGCAGGUAAAAACCAAAAUUUUUCCCGACAGGCAGUGGCGGAGGCUGCGGCAAGGCUGAGGGACAUGGCGUGAACCUCCGAAGCAGUUUAGUAGACAUUGUCUACAUGCUAAAAGCACCACGGCGCGCUUCUCUACGGCUGACUACCAUGUGUGCUAGCUGCUCAACCUCCCAAGUGCUGAUCUUCGUGGACUUUCCCGUCAUGCCUACUAACGUCAUAGGACCUGGUAGUUCAAGGCUCAAUGGUCGGCAGUUCUUUUUAGCCACGGCUGCUUCCUGCGGUAAUCUUCUCGCCUGGUGUUCUUCUGGCGAGAUGCUACCUCGCCACUUGCAUGGCUCCCUCACGCUUUCCUACUGGUCUCCAGGGAACGCAUUCCUUGGCGAGCGGAAACGCCAGUCAGUCAGCCCGUAGUAACAGUUGCCUCCGCUGGUGGUGGCUACGGAAAAGGAAGCCGUGUUGUCAAUAGGCAACAAAGUCCAGGCCAAGCAGAAGACAGAGCCUUAACCGCAGUUGCCACUAUAACCACAAUCCACUCGGACGACAGAUCCCUUGGCUACCAGGCCCCUAACUCGUGGCUGCAAUGCCCGUGACAGCGACGGGAGAAAUCGCAAUAAAGGCAAAGCGACAGAAGGUAAAACGGGAUUUCGUGGGUGAACAAGAAACAUAGCGAGGGGCGUGGGAGAUAAACUAGGCAGAAAGAAAGAAAACGAACAAGUGAGCACAAAAAAGAUUGAAAUCGAGACGAAUGAAAAGCGAGGUAGGAUGAACCGUAGGAAGACCUGGAUAGAAUUCCGCAUCAACUUAAUCUACAACAGAAAACAUUUCAUACUGUAACAAACUGCAUAAUACAGUGUCAGUAAAAUACAUAGUACUGAUGUAUGUAUAUAUUAAGCGGAGACAUGCAGAUAGAUCUGUCUACCAUGGAAGCUAAAGGACAUGAAAUACUCCUCCAACGAAGCACAUCUGGAACGUGUCAGCGGUUUUUGCCUGCAGGCGUAAAUGUCAAAUGAAGUUGAGUCGUACCGCAGCUAAAGUAUAUGGUAUUCCCGCGUAUGUAUUACAUCUAUCAAAAUAUCUUUGUUAUGAAAUCGUUUGCCAUUUGUUCUGGAUGUUCUUAUAUUUUUUUGUCACCAUAAAUAAGAAAUAUAUGCGCGUAGGAAAAAAGGAAUAGCUAAACGAAAACAAAUGGUUCGUGCAGUGGAUGAGGACCGCCCACUCGUAACGCUGGAAAUCGUCAAAAGUUGGCUUUGUUAGCAAGAGCUUCAUCAACUAAUUAAAAUAAGCUGGCCCAUUGAACACGACAGAUAUUUUCCAGACAAUUUGAAUAAAAACAGAUAAUUGCAUUAGAUAAGGCAAAAAGGUUGUUCUAUUACUCAAAUCGAACAUACAUAUAGACAAAAAUGAGAUAAAAGUUCAUUAAGAGCACGCAAUCACGUGAAAAAUAAGCCUAAAGCAGAGUUAAAUGGCAAGUAUAGAUCAAGUCCACGGUGCAACAUCUGUUUCCUUGACAGGGAAUACGGUAAAAUCGAUCCGUCAAAUACCGCAAUAUAACCUAUCGACGGAAUUGUUGGCAAAAUUUGAGUCAUCUGAAUGUCCAAGACAACAUCUGCCAUCUUUGCCUUCCAGCUAGCUGAGUGUCUUUCAUAGAUGUCUGUUAGGCCCAGAUUUAAUUAGCACUGGAAAUCUACAGUAACAAGUAAUGUUAGGUAAACAGGUUUUAUGUAACCCAACUCGUUCAUUUCCUAGCGUGAAUUACCUUCAAGCUAACUGAACGGCAUAGCUAUUUUUGAGUACGAUCUUCGGAUUAAAACGUUUUAUACUGCAGUCAAAGUAUCGAGAAAACGACUGUAUUUUACCGACCAAGAUCCGACCCAUCAUCGGACCUGUGACAUAGUGUUUGCCUGUCUGUCUGCUGUAGCCCAAAUUUUAGAGGAUUCAUUGUAGGAACAAUUGGAAUUUGGAACGUUGGGACAUGUAUAAUUAGUACAGAGCUGAUGCGUCAGCGUUUUUUGACACGGUAGCCGUGACAAAUGAGUCCCCGAAG